RNAcentral lists this ribosomal RNA (572 nucleotides) under Saccharomyces cerevisiae (brewer's yeast). RNAcentral's name for it is "eukaryotic LSU rRNA". It matches the Rfam family "Eukaryotic large subunit ribosomal RNA", at positions 62 to 648 of the family's 3401-position model. The record is from RNAcentral. Lineage: Eukaryota; Fungi; Ascomycota; Saccharomycetes; Saccharomycetales; Saccharomycetaceae.
AAACCAACCGGGAUUGCCUUAGUAACGGCGAGUGAAGCGGCAAAAGCUCAAAUUUGAAAUCUGGUACCUUCGGUGCCCGAGUUGUAAUUUGGAGAGGGCAACUUUGGGGCCGUUCCUUGUCUAUGUUCCUUGGAACAGGACGUCAUAGAGGGUGAGAAUCCCGUGUGGCGAGGAGUGCGGUUCUUUGUAAAGUGCCUUCGAAGAGUCGAGUUGUUUGGGAAUGCAGCUCUAAGUGGGUGGUAAAUUCCAUCUAAAGCUAAAUAUUGGCGAGAGACCGAUAGCGAACAGGUACAGUGAUGGAAAGAUGAAAAGAACUUUGAAAAGAGAGUGAAAAAGUACGUGAAAUUGUUGAAAGGGAAGGGCAUUUGAUCAGACAUGGUGUUUUGUGCCCUCUGCUCCUUGUGGGUAGGGGAAUCUCGCAUUUCACUGGGCCAGCAUCAGUUUUGGUGGCAGGAUAAAUCCAUAGGAAUGUAGCUUGCCUCGGUAAGUAUUAUAGCCUGUGGGAAUACUGCCAGCUGGGACUGAGGACUGCGACGUAAGUCAAGGAUGCUGGCAUAAUGGUUAUAUGCCGC